Molecule: ribosomal RNA, 245 nt
Filed under: uncultured Eubacteriales bacterium
Lineage: Bacteria; Bacillati; Bacillota; Clostridia; Eubacteriales
Description: uncultured Clostridiales bacterium partial 16S ribosomal RNA
Rfam family: Bacterial small subunit ribosomal RNA
Source: RNAcentral
UACGUAGAGAGCAAGCGUUAUCCGGAUUUAUUGGGUGUAAAGGGUGCGUAGAUGGGAAAAUAAGUUAGUUGUGAAAACCCUCGGCUCAACUGAGGACUUGCAACUAAAACUGUUUUUCUUGAGUGCAGGAGAGGAAAGUGGAAUUCCUAGUGUAGCGGUUAAAUGCGUAGAUAUUAGGAAGAAUACCAGUGGCGAAGGCGACUUUCUGGACUGUAACUGACAUUGAGGCACGAAAGUGUGGGUAG